GCAAGCGUUGUUCGGAUUUACUGGGCGGAAAGGGCGCGUAGGCGGUCAGCACAAGUCAGUUGUGAAAUCUCCGGGCUUAACUCGGAAAGGUCAACUGAUACUGUGCGACUAGAGUGCAGAAGGGGCAACUGGAAUUCUCGGUGUAGCGGUGAAAUGCGUAGAUAUCGAGAGGAACACCUGCGGCGAAGGCGGGUUGCUGGGCUGACACUGACGCUGAUGCGCGAAAGCCAGGGGAGCGAACGGG
RNAcentral lists this ribosomal RNA (244 nucleotides) under uncultured bacterium. RNAcentral describes it as "partial 16S ribosomal RNA". It matches the Rfam family "Bacterial small subunit ribosomal RNA", at positions 534 to 776 of the family's 1533-position model. The record is from RNAcentral.